GCCCUGGUAGCCCAGUGGUUAAGACUUGGCCCUUUCACUGCUAUGGGCCCAGGUUCCAUCCCUGGUCAGGGAA
Molecule: transfer RNA, 73 nt
Filed under: Ovis aries (sheep)
Lineage: Eukaryota; Metazoa; Chordata; Mammalia; Artiodactyla; Bovidae
Rfam family: tRNA
About the family: Transfer RNA (tRNA) molecules are approximately 80 nucleotides in length. Their secondary structure includes four short double-helical elements and three loops (D, anti-codon, and T loops).
Source: Rfam by way of RNAcentral